GUCAGGAUGGCCGAGCGGUCUAAGGCGCCAGACUCAAGGUAUUCACCUUCUCAGUUCAAAACUGAGUUUCGAGCGUUCUGGUCCUCUCUGAGGGCGUGGGUUCGAAUCCCACUUCUGACA
This is a transfer RNA of Melipona quadrifasciata, 120 nucleotides long. It matches the Rfam family "tRNA". Rfam says of the family: Transfer RNA (tRNA) molecules are approximately 80 nucleotides in length. Their secondary structure includes four short double-helical elements and three loops (D, anti-codon, and T loops). Further hydrogen bonds mediate the characteristic L-shaped molecular structure. tRNAs have two regions of fundamental functional importance: the anti-codon, which is responsible for specific mRNA codon recognition, and the 3' end, to which the tRNAs corresponding amino acid is attached (by aminoacyl-tRNA synthetases). tRNAs cope with the degeneracy of the genetic code in two manners: having more than one tRNA (with a specific anti-codon) for a particular amino acid; and 'wobble' base-pairing, i.e. permitting non-standard base-pairing at the 3rd anti-codon position. The record is from Rfam. NCBI's taxonomy places the organism in Eukaryota, Metazoa, Arthropoda, Insecta, Hymenoptera, Apidae.